CCUACGGGAGGCAGCAGUGGGGAAUAUUGCGCAAUGGCCGAAAGGCUGACGCAGCGACGCCGCGUGGGGGAUGAAGCAUUUCGGUGUGUAAACCCCUGUUGCCCGGGACGAACAACUGGUUUUGACCAGUCUGACGGUACCGGGUGAGGAAGCACCGGCUAACUCCGUGCCAGCAGCCGCGGUAAUACGGAGGGUGCGAGCGUUGUCCGGAAUCACUGGGCGUAAAGGGCGCGUAGGCGGUCUGCUAAGCGUGUGGUGAAAGCUCGGGGCUCAACCCCGAGUCGGCCAUGCGAACUGGUGGACUUGAGCACUGUAGAGGCAGGUGGAAUUCCGGGUGUAGCGGUGGAAUGCGUAGAGAUCCGGAAGAACACCGGUGGCGAAGGCGGCCUGCUGGGCAGUAGCUGACGCUGAGGCGCGACAGCGUGGGGAGCAAACAGGAUUAGAUACCCUGGUAGUCCACGCCGUAAACGAUGGGAACUAGGUGCUUGGGGGAGCGACCCCCGAGUGCCGGCGCUACGCAUAAGUCCCGCCUGGGAGUACGACCGCAAGUUGAAACUCAAGGAAUUGACGG
This 571-nucleotide ribosomal RNA is filed under the name uncultured bacterium. RNAcentral describes it as "bacterial SSU rRNA". It matches the Rfam family "Bacterial small subunit ribosomal RNA", at positions 338 to 916 of the family's 1533-position model. The record is from RNAcentral.